UCACGAAUUGCCAAUUUGCCAUCCCUUAGAAGUUAGAACAGGAGUGAGCUGUAAUGGAGGUUGCUUGUACUUGCUUAGGUUCAGCACGUCUAUGGCAGACGAAUAUGGAAAGCGUGGGGGAUUUCCGGUUCGGAGCCUGUACUGCUACUUUGCCUCCAUUGUCGUCGUUAUCCUGCGCAUCAAGGAAAAGGAAAACUUUCAUUUUCACAGCAAGAGCUAAUCCAUACGCUGAGCAGAGUGAUCCCGUUUUCCGAGCCGCCGUCGAACGCGCUGCUAUCCGUUUCCAGGAGUCUCAACGUUCAGAUCCUUUGUUCAUUGAUCCAUAUGCUGGCUGCUUUUUUCUAUCUGAGACUGAAGUGUAUAGGGAAGAGCAUCUGCAUCCCUACUGCCUUGCAACUAAGUAUAUUGAUGAUAAGUUGUUGAGCACAUUAGAAAAAGUUGAUGGGCCGAAGCAGGUUGUUUUGUUAACAGAUGGCAUGGAUACUCGGCCAUUUAGACUCAAUUGGCCAGCAUCAACUAUAAUAUAUGAUGUAUCGCCCGAGGAAGUAUUUAGAAGAGGAGCUGAGAAGCUUCAAGAAGUUGGGGCUAAGAUACCAAGAGCAUGUGUAUUUCAUCAUGUCCCAUUGAAUUCAUCUAAUCUACAACAGAUGAUGGGCAGUAAAGGAUUUAAUGGUGCCAGACCAAGUAUUUGGGCUUUUCAGGGACUGCCGGUCAUGAACUUGGCGAGCUUUAAAGAUAUUUUGUGCCUUGUCAGUAAUCUGGCCAUGAAGGGAUGCUUUUUCUUGGGGGAACUGCCUAUUUGGCUGGCUGAAACUGAUGCCAGGUGUAAGUCAACUACAAAUAGAUGGUUGGAAAGCCUUUUCAUGAGCUGUGGUUUCCGCGUGGAAAUAAUUGGGUAUAAUGACAUCGCAAGAAACCUUGACAAUGAACUGGUAACAGAAGAGUACACCAACAUACUUUUUGUUGCAGAGCAUCUGAGAUUUUCUGAUGAUCAGAUGGAACUAUGGAGGAGAGAAUUUCAGAGGAUAGAGGAAGAAGGAGACGAAGAAGGCUUUGAGGAGCUCUAGAGUUUAUCAUUCUGUUUGGUCGUGCAUCUGCAAUGCACAUCCGUCCAGUAUGAAUUUUGAACAAACAACAACAACAACAACAAAGAGGUGGAGCCGAAAUGCCCUAUUUGUAUGGAUGAGGUGGAAUCAAUAUAUAUCACAUGUUUUUGGGACCUGCAUUUACGCAAAGCCUGUGGAUAACAGCCAGACUUCCUGUUCUACAGCAUCAAACUUCCAUGAGUGAGUGGCAUAUAUAACACCUCUCUAAAUGUAGCCUAUAGCAUCACUCAAGAAAAUAUAAUUACUAACUGGAUACUACCAACAAUCUGAGGUGCAGGAGGGUAUAUAUACUACCAGAUCGAAUGUCAUUGUGUGGGGAAGGGGAUGAAGAGAUCAGAUAGCUCAUACAUUUUUGACAUGCCCAUUUGCUUUGCAUGUUUGGAAUAUCUCACAACUUUCUGUUCCUAGUUUUGGGAUCGAAGCUGGUAGGAAAGAACAUACUUCUUGCGUUCUCCUUCCUUCUCGGUGCUGAGAAGCUAAGCUUGCAUGUGAUGAAGAGGAGGGCACGUACCAUCCCAGUGUCAAUCUCCACGGUUAAGGUUCUUUCCUCAAACGCCACGACUGAAGUCAAUUUGACGUUCAUAGCUUUUUAGAAGGGCCAACUAAUAUGAAAAAUUUCUUCCAUGUUAGGUAUAAUUAGUUGGCCUUUCUAAAAAGCCUGAGUAUCAAAAUGAGAGGGGAUGGCAAGAAGCACGUGCAUUAGAGCGGGAUGAAAACCCUCACAGCUCAAGACACAAAAUGAGAAGAAGAAAUGACACCUAGAAUAUCUCUAAUUUUUCCUUUCUUUCUGGUUGGUUACGUUGUUUGUAAGAUGAAGAUGAAGAUGAAUUUGUUGAGCCUUUAUAUAGGCAAAAAUUAGGUAGAUGCACCAUACAAGAAGCAUGAUGCUAAAUGUAUUCGUGUGAUUAUUCUUUGCAUUCAGAUAUCACAGGGGUUGUUUGAGAGCUUUAA
RNA transcript from Ipomoea triloba (trilobed morning glory), 2057 nucleotides. It is a transcript of the gene named putative S-adenosyl-L-methionine-dependent methyltransferase FRAAL3836, with no coding region annotated. The transcript is spliced from 12 exons. The record is from RefSeq and is a predicted model, not a curated record. NCBI's taxonomy places the organism in Eukaryota, Viridiplantae, Streptophyta, Magnoliopsida, Solanales, Convolvulaceae.